UUGCUGGACGAAGGGAGGGGCGUGGUCAGGCGAGAGGGGGCGUGGCGAGGCCUGCUGGCUUCCUGGCUCGCUACAAGCAGAAGCAGCGGCGGCGGCGGCGUUGGUGGGAUUUUUGUUGGUGCUAUUUGCUGGAGAGACACGGAGGGUUUCAUUCGCGGACAGGGACACCCUGUAGCAGCUGCGGAGACCUCGGCAUCACCGCCGCUGACAGACAGACGCUGUCAAACCCACAACCCCAGCGCUCUCCAAGCCAGAAUCGGGCGCUCACCAUAUCGGCGUGCCGGAGACUCCAGCAACACCGCUGCUACCGUCGCCAUCGUCGUUGAGAAGAGGACGAGGAGUGGGGGAGGAAGAGGAGGGGGAGCGUACGGAGGGGUUGGAAGAGGUGGACGAGGUGGUGGUGGUGGUGGAAGCGGGAGCUGAGGAGCUCCCCUCCCACCUCCUCCCCAGGUGUGGCCGUGCUGCGAUGCCACACCUGGGCCGUGCCACCCUCCUGGGGCAGCAGCAGCAGCAGCAGCACCACAACAACAACAACCACAACCACCAUAACCACCACCACCACAACCACCACCACCUCCUCCCACCUCUUCCACCGGCGCCAGGCGGUGGAGUUGGCGGUGCCGCCGGCGGCAGCGGCGGCGGCGGCGCCGGUGGGCCACCGCCAUUACCACCGCCCACCUUACCCCACCACCACCACCACCACCACCACCUCCCGCCACACCACGCGGCCGACGACCUGGGAGCCGUGGACGAGAUGCUCCCCUUCAAGGACGAGGGCGACGAGGGGGGCGAGGAGGAGGGCGGCGGCG
Molecule: non-coding RNA, 809 nt
Organism: Petromyzon marinus (sea lamprey)
Lineage: Eukaryota; Metazoa; Chordata; Hyperoartia; Petromyzontiformes; Petromyzontidae
Source: RefSeq, a predicted model, not a curated record